This 254-nucleotide unclassified non-coding RNA is filed under the name uncultured fungus. RNAcentral describes it as "sequence contains ITS2". The stretch from base 1 to 52 matches the Rfam family "5.8S ribosomal RNA", at positions 103 to 154 of the family's 154-position model. The record is from RNAcentral. Lineage: Eukaryota; Fungi.
AACGCAUAUUGCGCCCUUUGGUAUUCCGAAGGGCAUGCCUGUUCGAGCGUCAUUAUCAACCCCCAAGCUUAGCUUGUUGUUGGAAAUGUUAUUGAGAAUCAAUAACUCUCCCAAAGACAAUGGCGGUAUCUUUUGAACCCUCGAUGCAACGAGCUUCACAAAGCACGCAUUGAAAAGUGGUUAAUUGAUACUUGACCUUUCAUUUUAUUCUUAAGGUUGACCUCGGAUCAGGUAGGAAUACCCGCUGAACUUAA